RNAcentral lists this non-coding RNA (25 nucleotides) under Rattus norvegicus (Norway rat). Lineage: Eukaryota; Metazoa; Chordata; Mammalia; Rodentia; Muridae. The record is from RNAcentral.
UUUCUUUAAAUUAUUUGUGGGGCUG